CCUCGAUUUGGUCCACUUCUGGACGGCUGGGUGUGCCUUUCCCAUGUCCCCGAGGGAUUUGCCAGUCCCCUCUGCCCGCGCCCCACGCUCGACCUCGAGAACAAGCAAAAAGGUCAAACCCUAGCCGCCAAACCUUCUCGUCCCGAGCCCCGCGCCCCCUUCGCCUCGUCUCCUCCCCGCUCCAUCCUCUCCCAUGCCGCCGCACCCUCUCCUCACACGCCUCAGCGCCCUCCCCUCCUCCCCGUGCCGCCGGCCCCCUUCCUUCUCCCCGCGCUAGAGCAGAGAUGCGCCUCAGUAGGGCAGCAGUAG
This 309-nucleotide ribosomal RNA is filed under the name Triticum aestivum (bread wheat). Its description in RNAcentral is "partial small subunit ribosomal RNA". The record is from RNAcentral. Lineage: Eukaryota; Viridiplantae; Streptophyta; Magnoliopsida; Poales; Poaceae.